Molecule: ribosomal RNA, 237 nt
Filed under: uncultured bacterium
Lineage: Bacteria
Description: partial 16S ribosomal RNA
Rfam family: Bacterial small subunit ribosomal RNA
Source: RNAcentral
UACAGAGGGUGCAAGCGUUAAUCGGAAUUACUGGGCGUAAAGCGCACGUAGGCGGUCUUUUAAGUCGGGGGUGAAAUCCUGGAGCUCAACUCCAGAACUGCCUCGAUACUGGAAGACUCGAGUCCGAGAGAGGUGAGUGGAACUGCGAGUGUAGAGGUGAAAUUCGUAGAUAUUCGCAAGAACACCAGUGGCGAAGGCGGCUCACUGGCCCGGUACUGACGCUGAGGUGGCGAAAGC